AUGGCCCUAUAUGGAACCGUCAUGCUUUCUGCCGCCCUUGGCCCUUCGCCGCUCACCGUGCCACCGUGGUAUGGCCUGUUUUUGCUUUUGCCAUGGAAACCGGAUGCUAUCAACCAAUUUGUCAUGACAAUCCACGGUAUCCACCGAGGAGCCCACGAUGUACAGGGCACCAACUCUGGGCCCACACCAUUUUGUGUCCCGUACCCUCCGGGAAGAGAGAGAGGACCAAAGGAGGAGAGGCAUCCACACCACCGAGCUCGUCGGAAAGAGAGAAAGAGGACUGGACCGGCGCCGGCGAUGGCAAUGCAGCCACCUCGGAGGAAGACUGGGCCGGCACCGACGAUGACGACGCAGCCACUGCGGAUAAGGAUCGGAAGGGGUGAAGAAGAGGGGAGGGGGAGAGGGGAGCUCGAGGUCGAUCCGCGCCGUCGCUUGGGCCACACCGCUGCCACCGUCGUUGGGGGUGGAGGAGAGGGCGCCGCCGCUACUCCGCUCGACAGCCGCCGUAGCGAGGAGGAGGAGAGGAGUGGUGGUCGCCGCGGAGCUUGUCCGCGCGUUGGCCAGGAGGGGCGCCCGUCAAAGGAGGAGAUAAGGGGCGUCGACCGGAGCUGGAAGAAGAGGGAAGCUGGGGAAGAAGGAGCGGCGGCGCGGUGGGGUGAGCGGCCGCCGGAUCUGGCCGCCCCACCACCGCUUCGACCGGCGCCGUCGCCGCCCCGCCACCGCUCCGCCCGGUGCCGUCGCCGCUCAAGCUGCCACCCGGCUCUCUACGGGUGGAAAAGGAAGAGAGGGGAGAGGGAAAAGUGGAAAAGUGGUAUUGGUGAGACCCACUAUAAGUUUUUUCGCUAAGUUUAGGUUA
RNAcentral lists this long non-coding RNA (856 nucleotides) under Oryza sativa Indica Group (long-grained rice). Its description in RNAcentral is "lncRNA OsZS97_09G013150". Lineage: Eukaryota; Viridiplantae; Streptophyta; Magnoliopsida; Poales; Poaceae. The record is from RNAcentral.